UGUCGUCCAGAGCCCUUUUUCUGUUGUACUACUGCGACAUGACAAGAGCAGUGCAAUAUUAAAAGGGCAUUGGCUGGCA
This 79-nucleotide microRNA precursor is filed under the name Scleropages formosus (Asian bonytongue). RNAcentral's name for it is "mir-130 microRNA precursor family". It matches the Rfam family "mir-130 microRNA precursor family". Rfam says of the family: The hairpin precursors (represented here) are predicted based on base pairing and cross-species conservation -- their extents are not known. The record is from Rfam by way of RNAcentral. Lineage: Eukaryota; Metazoa; Chordata; Actinopteri; Osteoglossiformes; Osteoglossidae.